CAAGGACUGUGCAAUCAAAGAUGACUUUUAUUUUUUACUUGCAGGAUCUCGAAGGGAGAGUGCUCAUCCUAGAUUUGAAGACAACACUCUAAUCGACCCCACCUCCAUUGUGCUGGUUACUUAGUCUGCAUAUGAGGUACAAGACCCGAAAUUUUGGGAGAGGGGCCAAUCGAUUAAAUCGACCCAAGAACGCA
Molecule: unclassified non-coding RNA, 194 nt
Filed under: Octopus sinensis (East Asian common octopus)
Lineage: Eukaryota; Metazoa; Mollusca; Cephalopoda; Octopoda; Octopodidae
Description: probable serine/threonine-protein kinase DDB_G0281745, transcript variant X2
Source: RNAcentral